CGCGCUUAGCUCAGUUGGCUAGAGCACCUGACUGUAGAUCAGGGGGUCCCCGGUUCAAGUCCGGGAGCGCGGACCA
This 76-nucleotide transfer RNA is filed under the name Methanobacteriota archaeon. RNAcentral describes it as "Euryarchaeota archaeon tRNA-Tyr". It matches the Rfam family "tRNA". From Rfam's summary of the family: Transfer RNA (tRNA) molecules are approximately 80 nucleotides in length. Their secondary structure includes four short double-helical elements and three loops (D, anti-codon, and T loops). Further hydrogen bonds mediate the characteristic L-shaped molecular structure. tRNAs have two regions of fundamental functional importance: the anti-codon, which is responsible for specific mRNA codon recognition, and the 3' end, to which the tRNAs corresponding amino acid is attached (by aminoacyl-tRNA synthetases). tRNAs cope with the degeneracy of the genetic code in two manners: having more than one tRNA (with a specific anti-codon) for a particular amino acid; and 'wobble' base-pairing, i.e. permitting non-standard base-pairing at the 3rd anti-codon position. Lineage: Archaea; Methanobacteriati; Methanobacteriota. The record is from RNAcentral.